Molecule: ribosomal RNA, 253 nt
Filed under: uncultured bacterium
Lineage: Bacteria
Description: partial 16S ribosomal RNA
Rfam family: Bacterial small subunit ribosomal RNA
Source: RNAcentral
UACGUAGGCAGCGAGCGUUGUUCGGAGUUACUGGGCGUAAAGAGUGCGUAGGCGGUCCUUUAAGUUCGGUGUGAAAUCUCCCGGCUCAACCGGGAGGGUGCACCGAAAACUGGAGGGCUUGAGUGCGGGAGAGGAGAGCGGAAUUCCUGGUGUAGCGGUGAAAUGCGUAGAUAUCAGGAGGAACACCUGUGGUGCAGACGGCUCUCUGGACCGCAACUGACGCUGAGGCACGAAAGCGUGGGUAGCAAACAGG